Molecule: ribosomal RNA, 467 nt
Filed under: uncultured bacterium
Lineage: Bacteria
Description: partial 16S ribosomal RNA
Rfam family: Bacterial small subunit ribosomal RNA
Source: RNAcentral
GACGAACGCUGGCGGCGUGCUUAACACAUGCAAGUCGAACGGAAAGCCCCUGCUUUUGUGGGGUGCUCGAGUGGCGAACGGGUGAGUAACACGUGAGUAACCUGCCCUUGACUUUGGGAUAACUUCAGGAAACUGGGGCUAAUACCGGAUAGGAGCUCCUGCUGCAUGGUGGGGGUUGGAAAGUUUCGGCGGUUGGGGAUGGACUCGCGGCUUAUCAGCUUGUUGGUGGGGUAGUGGCUUACCAAGGCUUUGACGGGUAGCCGGCCUGAGAGGGUGACCGGCCACAUUGGGACUGAGAUACGGCCCAGACUCCUACGGGAGGCAGCAGUGGGGAAUAUUGCACAAUGGGCGGAAGCCUGAUGCAGCAACGCCGCGUGCGGGAUGACGGCCUUCGGGUUGUAAACCGCUUUCGCCUGUGACGAAGCGUGAGUGACGGUAAUGGGUAAAGAAGCACCGGCUAACUACGU